UCCUCUCAACAAGCUUACGGAGCUCCUCGGACUUGACAUGGCUGUUGCAGGCUUCACUGAAGCUCUUACUUUUGCCCUGUGCUCCCAAGAAGAUAUUGCUGAUAAACUUGUCUUGGAUAUCUCUGAAACAAAGGCAGUUCACAUAAGUAAUCCCAAAACUGCUGAGUUCCAGAUGUAGGUGCAAAAAACUACAGGCAUCUCUGUGCUGUUUAUUACAAUAAGAAUCCUGGGUUUGAGAUCAUCCAUGGGCUGCUGGACAGAAUUAUGCAGCUGCUUGAUUGUGCCUCCUAGUGAGGAGAAAGGGGGCUACGUGAUCAAAGCAUCAAUAGGUUCAGCAUUCUUCCCUGGGUGGUGUGCUGAAUUCUUUGCCUGGGGUCAAAGCAUCAGGAAGCUAGGCGUCCUUCAUCCUGAUGUUAUCACCAAAUUUGAGCUGACCAUGCCCUGUUCCUCUCUAGAAAUCAAUAUUGAGCCCUUUUUAUGAAGUUGGUCUCUUCUGUGUGGUUCUGUCCCUCAAUGUCCCUUUCCCUCCUGUGGUGUCCUUCAGCCCUCUUUUACGAGGAACAUCCAUUUGUGCUUUAAUAUUUAAUAAAGAAAAAUGUGCUGUCUGGC
This is a long non-coding RNA of Phodopus roborovskii (desert hamster), 609 nucleotides long. RefSeq lists it as uncharacterized. The transcript is spliced from 2 exons. Lineage: Eukaryota; Metazoa; Chordata; Mammalia; Rodentia; Cricetidae. The record is from RefSeq and is a predicted model, not a curated record.